UGGGAGUCAAAUCAGCUCAGGAACUCAAAAGGAUGAUCAAAAGUCAAGCUUUCCAUAAAGAAACCAUACCAAAGCAUGUAUUUGGCAGCUGGAGCAGUUGGCAAGUAUGGGUAGCUAGAGCAGUUGGGAGCAACUAAGAGAGGUGUGCUUCACCAGCCAAAAGGGAGGACGAAAUUGCACUCUAUAAAUAGAGAGCUGCAAACUCAUUCAAGAUAGAGAGGCAGACACACACAUUCACUUCAUCCAUUACUCUCAUACACACAUUCAGAUC
This 271-nucleotide long non-coding RNA is filed under the name Prunus persica (peach). Its description in RNAcentral is "long non-coding RNA (PPER_LNC007019)". Lineage: Eukaryota; Viridiplantae; Streptophyta; Magnoliopsida; Rosales; Rosaceae. The record is from RNAcentral.